GACUAGAGUCACAUCCCGACACAGAACUUGUCCUGGUGUGCUACAGUACAAUUUGCUGGUCUUGAUUCACUGGGGGGGGAUAAUUAAUGUCCCCAUUAGUGCCCAGAUCAGAAACAUAG
Molecule: small nucleolar RNA, 119 nt
Filed under: Marmota monax (woodchuck)
Lineage: Eukaryota; Metazoa; Chordata; Mammalia; Rodentia; Sciuridae
Description: Small nucleolar RNA SNORA3/SNORA45 family
Rfam family: Small nucleolar RNA SNORA3/SNORA45 family
About the family: The members of this family belong to the H/ACA class of snoRNAs which are thought to guide the sites of modification of uridines to pseudouridines. This family includes mouse snoMBI-28 and human homologues ACA3 (SNORA3) and ACA3-2 (SNORA45).
Source: Rfam by way of RNAcentral